This 469-nucleotide ribosomal RNA is filed under the name uncultured bacterium. Its description in RNAcentral is "partial 16S ribosomal RNA". It matches the Rfam family "Bacterial small subunit ribosomal RNA", at positions 28 to 507 of the family's 1533-position model. The record is from RNAcentral.
GACGAACGCUGGCGGCGUGCUUAACACAUGCAAGUCGAACGGAAAGGCCCUGCUUUUGUGGGGUGCUCGAGUGGCGAACGGGUAAGUAACACGUGAGUAACCUGCCCUUGACUUUGGGAUAACUUCAGGAAACUGGGGCUAAUACCGGAUAGGAGCUCCUGCUGCAUGGUGGGGGUUGGAAAGUUUCGGCGGUUGGGGAUGGACUCGCGGCUUAUCAGCUUGUUGGUGGGGUAGUGGCUUACCAAGGCUUUGACGGGUAGCCGGCCUGAGAGGGUGACCGGCCACAUUGGGGCUGCGAUACGGCCCAGACGCCUACGGGAGGCAGCAGUGGUGAAUAUUGCACAAUGGGUGGAAGCCGGAUGCAGCAACGCCGUGUGCGGGAUGACGGCCUUCGGGUUGUAAACCGCUUUCGCUCAUGACGUAGCUUUGUGUGACGGUAGUGGGUAGAGAAGCACCGGCUAAAUACGUG